RNAcentral lists this small nuclear RNA (118 nucleotides) under Vulpes vulpes (red fox). Its description in RNAcentral is "U4 spliceosomal RNA (ENSVVUG00000006435.1)". It matches the Rfam family "U4 spliceosomal RNA". Rfam says of the family: U4 small nuclear RNA (U4 snRNA) is a component of the major U2-dependent spliceosome. Lineage: Eukaryota; Metazoa; Chordata; Mammalia; Carnivora; Canidae. The record is from RNAcentral.
AGCCUUGCACAGUGGCAGUAUCGUACCCAAUGAGGUUUAUCUGAGGUGCGAUUAUUGCUAAUUGAAAGAUGUGUCCAUCAGGAGUUCCAAAAGGAAAUAUUAGAAUUGGGGUGAGGCA